GACAGAGGGUGCAAACGUUGUUCGGAAUUACUGGGCGUAAAGGGCGCGUAGGCGGCCAUCUAAGUCAGACGUGAAAUCCCCCGGCUUAACCUGGGAACUGCGUCUGAUACUGGACGGCUCGAGUUUGGGAGAGGGAUGCAGAAUUCCAGGUGUAGCGGUGAAAUGCGUAGAUAUCUGGAGGAAUACCGGUGGCGAAGGCGGCAUCCUGGGCCUUACCUGACGCUGAGACGCGAAAGCGUGGGGAGCGAACCGG
Molecule: ribosomal RNA, 253 nt
Filed under: uncultured bacterium
Lineage: Bacteria
Description: partial 16S ribosomal RNA
Rfam family: Bacterial small subunit ribosomal RNA
Source: RNAcentral